This 467-nucleotide ribosomal RNA is filed under the name uncultured bacterium. RNAcentral's name for it is "partial 16S ribosomal RNA". It matches the Rfam family "Bacterial small subunit ribosomal RNA", at positions 28 to 507 of the family's 1533-position model. The record is from RNAcentral.
GACGAACGCUGGCGGCGUGCUUAACACAUGCAAGUCGAACGGAAAGGCCUCUUUCUGGUGGUACUCGAGUGGGGAGCGGGUGAGUAACACGUGAGUAGCCUGCCCUUUACUUUGGGGUAACUUCAGGAGACUAGGGCUAAUACCGGCUAGGAGCUCCUGCUGCCUGGUGGGUUUUGGAAAGUUUCGGCGGUUGGGGAUGGACUCGCGGCUUAUCAGCUUGUUGGUGGGGUAGUGGGUUACAAAGGCUCUGACGGGUAGCCGGCCUGGGAGGGGUAACGGGCCCCAUGGGACUGCGGGAAGGACCAGAAGUCUACCGGAGGCAGCAGGGGGGAAUAUUGCAAAAUGGGGGGAAGGCUGAGGCAGCAACGCCGGGGGCGGGAUGACCGGCUUCGGGUUGUAAACCGCGUUGGGUCAGGAAGGAGCUUUGAGUGACGGUAGUGGGUAAAGAAGCACCGGCUAACUACGUG